CAGGACGAACGCUGGCGGCGUGCUUAACACAUGCAAGUCGAACGGAGGUUAUUUGAAACUUAGUGAUAGAUAACCUAGUGGCGGACGGGUGAGUAACGCGUGGAUAAUCUGCCCCCCGGCCGGGAUAGCCCAGGGAAACCUGGAUUAAUACCGGAUGAGACGGGACCCGCGAUGGCGGGACCCGGGAAAGGCGCUGCGGCGCCGCCGGGGGAUGAGUCUGCGUCCCAUUAGCUAGACGGCGGGGUAACGGCCCACCGUGGCGACGAUGGGUAGCCGGCCUGAGAGGGUGGACGGCCACAUUGGAACUGAGACACGGUCCAGACUCCUACGGGAGGCAGCAGCUAAGAAUCUUCCGCAAUGGGCGAAAGCCUGACGGAGCGACGCCGCGUGAACGAAGAAGGCCGUGAGGUUGUAAAGUUCUUUUCGGGAGGGGGAACAACCGUGGCAGGGAAUGGCCGCGGGAUGACGUGAAUCCCGGAAUAAGCCCCGGCUAACUACGUGCCAGCAGCUGC
RNAcentral lists this ribosomal RNA (512 nucleotides) under uncultured bacterium. RNAcentral describes it as "bacterial SSU rRNA". It matches the Rfam family "Bacterial small subunit ribosomal RNA", at positions 25 to 518 of the family's 1533-position model. The record is from RNAcentral.